CAAAAAUGUCAUAUUUAGCAAUAUUUAUUUCAUUAUUAUGUAUUAAUUUUAUCUCCAUUAAAAAUUUAGGGUUAAUUUUAUAUAUGUUUCUAUAAACAUAGUGAAUAAUAAAUAUAUUCCUACAAAGUUCAACUUCCAUAUAUUGUCUCUACAAAAUCUUGAUAUUUUCAAAUAUGUCUCUACCGUUAGAAUCCGUUAAAAAAAGUUAGUUAACCAUAAAUUAAAUACUUAACCCUAGUUAGUUUUUGACAUUUUUACCCCUUUAUAUUACACUAGUAUGGCUUUUAGAGGGAUAUAUUUGUGAUGGCAAAAUUGAAAAUAUAAACGGUUCUCUAAUGGUAACAAACCAGAGAGACAUAUUUGAAAACAUUAGGACUUUUAUAGGAACAAUAUAUGAAAGUUGAAAUUUAUAGGGAUAUAUUUGUCAUUCACUAUGUUUGCAGGAAUAUAUAUGAAAUUAACCCUAAAAUUUAAAAUACUUUUUUAUUAUGAUUUUUUUGGGUUUAGAGUUUAUUCAAAAUAACCAAAAGAAUCUUUAAAUAAAAACAAAACUUAUCUAUUUCUCUAUACUUACUUAUAUAUUAUUUCUCAUGCAGUUUGUCACGUGGCAAUUUCUCCUUUACCCCCUUCCCACUCCUUGAUGUUUCAUCUUCUCAUCCUUAUCUCUGUACGAUGCUUUAUUUUUCCAUCUGUCCACUUUCUAAUUAAUGUAUCCAUAUGAUCCAUAAUCAUUUAAAAAAAAUAAAAUAAGAUCUCUUCAUACUCCUUUUUAUCACAAUUUUUUUUUGCUUUUUUGUGCACAAUAAGGGUUAAUUUUUUUAUUUUUUUAUUUUUUUUAUUUUUUAAAAUUGUGUAUAGAUUGAAACUAGGGUUUCGAGAGGUGAAGUACGACGGAUUUCGAGUCGAUGAGGGGAUUUGGAGUCGAUGAGGGGGAAGAAGAGGUGGGUGUGGUGGCACUGUGAGGUGAAGUACGAUGGAUUUGGGGUCGAUGAGGGGUAAGAAGAGGUGGGUGUGGGGGGAUCCGUAUGGAAUCGACGUGACCGUGACCAAAGAGAAGCUCGAGCCGACAAUAGCGGUGGAGGCGACGCAAAGAACGGGAAUCGCCUCUCCGCUCUUGGCAGCACGAUCAAAAUGCGUAUGAAAUAGUAAUUCUAUUACUGCUUCUUUCCUUAUUGUUAUUUAUAAUUUAUUUGCUGCUAUAAAUUUUAUUAUAUUUGUACAUAUCUGUUUUAUAUUAUUUAUUUGUAUUUAUUGAUGUCUUAUGGUAAGUCAAAAAGUAUUAAAAUUUUAACUUUGUCAAUCUUCUAUCUUCUAUAGUAUUAGCCCGCCGCAAUGCGCUGAUAACUUCACUAGUAAAUACAUAAUAAGAGCUGCCGAACGUUUCGGAGCUCACACAAUCCUCUCUCUCUCUCUCUCUCUCUCUCUCUCUCUCUCUCUCUAAGGGGGUGUAAUGCAAAUUUUUUUAGAGUUAAUUUUAUACGGUUUCUUGUAAAUAUAUCGAAUAACAAAUAUGUCAAAUAAAUGACAUGAUAUAUUUGCUAUCACAAAUGUGUUCCUUAAAAAAUUCUAACAAUUAGAAUUAUAUAAAAAUGUCCUCCCAAAAAUUUUCAACAGUUAUUUUCUUUCUUUCUACCAUGCAUCACAAAUAAUAUAAGAGAGGUAAAAGGUCAAUUUAUCUAAUUCACUAAUCAGAGUCAAGUAUUUACCUAUGGUUAACUAUAAUUUCUAAUGGUAGUAAAAGUAUAUUUGAAAAUAUUAUGACUUUUAUAAAAAUAAAUAUAAAAAAAUUAAACUUUAUAAAAAUAUAUUUGCUAUUCAAUAUAUUUACAGCAAAUGGUACGCAAUUAACUUUAUUAUUAUUAUUAUUAUUAUAUUUUUCCCCCUUUCUCCCUCAUGCAUAAAU
This 1903-nucleotide long non-coding RNA is filed under the name Ananas comosus (pineapple). RNAcentral's name for it is "long non-coding RNA (ACOM_LNC017200)". Lineage: Eukaryota; Viridiplantae; Streptophyta; Magnoliopsida; Poales; Bromeliaceae. The record is from RNAcentral.